RNAcentral lists this ribosomal RNA (245 nucleotides) under uncultured Luteibacter sp. Its description in RNAcentral is "partial 16S ribosomal RNA". It matches the Rfam family "Bacterial small subunit ribosomal RNA", at positions 524 to 768 of the family's 1533-position model. The record is from RNAcentral. Lineage: Bacteria; Pseudomonadati; Pseudomonadota; Gammaproteobacteria; Lysobacterales; Rhodanobacteraceae.
UACGGAGGGUGCAAGCGUUAAUCGGAAUUACUGGGCGUAAAGCGUGCGUAGGCGGUUCGUUAAGUCUGUUGUGAAAGCCCCGGGCUCAACCUGGGAAUGGCAAUGGAUACUGGCGAGCUAGAGUGUGUCAGAGGAUGGUGGAAUUCCCGGUGUAGCGGUGAAAUGCGUAGAGAUCGGGAGGAACAUCAGUGGCGAAGGCGGCCAUCUGGGACAACACUGACGCUGAGGCACGAAAGCGUGGGGAG